CUGAGAGGUUGGCCGGCCACAUUGGGACUGAGACACGGCCCAACUCCUACGGGAGGCAGCUAUGAGGAAUAUUGGGCAAUGGGCGGAAGUCUGAACCAGCAACGUCGCGUGAAGGAAGAAGGCCCUCGGGUUGUAAACUUCUUUUAACAGGGAGAAGGAAGUGACGGUACCUGUUGAAUAAGCCACGGCUAACUACGUGCCAG
This 203-nucleotide ribosomal RNA is filed under the name uncultured Bacillota bacterium. RNAcentral describes it as "uncultured Firmicutes bacterium partial 16S ribosomal RNA". It matches the Rfam family "Bacterial small subunit ribosomal RNA", at positions 292 to 511 of the family's 1533-position model. The record is from RNAcentral. Lineage: Bacteria; Bacillati; Bacillota.